AGCCUUGCACAGUGGCAGUGUUGUAGCCAAUGAGGUUUAUCUGAGACGCAAUUAUUGCUAGUUAAUAUAUCAGUAUUGUGAUUUCUUAUUUUUUCUUUGUGGUACUGGGGACUGAACCCAGGUUGUACACAUGCUAGGCAAGUGUUCUAACAC
Molecule: small nuclear RNA, 153 nt
Organism: Heterocephalus glaber (naked mole-rat)
Lineage: Eukaryota; Metazoa; Chordata; Mammalia; Rodentia; Bathyergidae
Gene: U4
Rfam family: U4 spliceosomal RNA
About the family: U4 small nuclear RNA (U4 snRNA) is a component of the major U2-dependent spliceosome.
Source: Ensembl